This 507-nucleotide ribosomal RNA is filed under the name uncultured bacterium. RNAcentral's name for it is "partial 16S ribosomal RNA". It matches the Rfam family "Bacterial small subunit ribosomal RNA", at positions 29 to 523 of the family's 1533-position model. The record is from RNAcentral.
AGUGAACGCUGGCGGUAGGUCUAACACAUGCAAGUCGAACGGCAGCACAGGAGAGCUUGCUCUCUGGGUGGCGAGUGGCGGACGGGUGAGGAAUACAUCGGAAUCUACUCUGUCGUGGGGGAUAACGUAGGGAAACUUACGCUAAUACCGCAUACGACCUACGGGUGAAAGCAGGGGACCUUCGGGCCUUGCGCGAUUGAAUGAGCCGAUGUCGGAUUAGCUAGUUGGCGGGGUAAAGGGCCCACCAAGGCGACGAUCCGUAGCUGGUCUGAGAGGAUGAUCAGCCACACUGGAACUGAAACACGGUCCAGACUCCUACGGGAGGCAGCAGUGGGGAAUAGUGGACAAUGGGCGCAAGCCUGAUCCAGCCAUACCGCGUGGGUGAAGAAGGCCUUCGGAUUGUAAAGCCCUUUUGUUGGGAAAGAAAUCCAGCUGGCUAAUACCCGGUUGGGAUGACGGUACCCAAAGAAUAAGCACCGGCUAACUUCGUGCCAGCCGCCGCGGUAA